AAAGAAAAAAAAAAGUGCAAAUUAGCCAAUGCGUGCCAAACAGCAGAAGGAACUCACGCGAGGUUUUGCUUGCAGUUCCAGGCGGGAUCGUGGUUUUAAAAGCAACAGUCAAAUGCACAGUUGAAUCAAAAUGAAUUCCCCAGACGAAGAUGUCAGCGUGCGCACCUUGCUCAAAGGUGUGAUGAGUACAGAGCCGUGUCAGACUCAGGUGCGGGUAACGCGCAGAGAAUAAAAGUUGGAGAGUGGCUGUUUUAAAAGGAGAAGUGCAAGACUGCUGAAACCCCCGCGGCAUGGAGAAGUUCACUCUGGGACGGGAGAGAUCUGGAUAAAGGCAGAGGGUUGUUUCUGACAAGAUGCCCUUGAAAGUGCUGAUUGAGCGCCAUCUUCCCAUGGAAUACAGGACGCUGCUGAUACCUGUGGUUACCAGUGGGAAUCUGGCGAUUCCCAAGAUGUAACUCACUCCUGCAGAUCUCUCCACGUUGGGCUUUAUCCACAAGCUGUUAGUCACACCUGUAACAAUCAGUCCUGCUGGUGUUCAGCAGCCAAUGCUUUCUGACUUCUUAAAAAAAAAAAAAAAAAUAUAUAUAUAUAU
This is a long non-coding RNA of Acipenser ruthenus (sterlet), 592 nucleotides long. RefSeq lists it as uncharacterized. The transcript has 4 exons. Lineage: Eukaryota; Metazoa; Chordata; Actinopteri; Acipenseriformes; Acipenseridae. The record is from RefSeq and is a predicted model, not a curated record.